UGGGGAAUAUUGGACAAUGGGCGAAAGCCUGAUCCAGCCAUGCCGCGUGUGUGAAGAAGGUCUUCGGAUUGUAAAGCACUUUAAGUUGGGAGGAAGGGCAUUAACCUAAUACGUUAGUGUUUUGACGUUACCGACAGAAUAAGCACCGGCUAACUCUGUGCCAGCAGCCGCGGUAAUACAGAGGGUGCAAGCGUUAAUCGGAAUUACUGGGCGUAAAGCGCGCGUAGGUGGUUUGUUAAGUUGGAUGUGAAAUCCCCGGGCUCAACCUGGAAACUGCAUUCAAAACUGACUGACUAGAGUAUGGUAGAGGGUGGUGGAAUUUCCUGUGUAGCGGUGAAAUGCUUAGAUAUAGGAAGGAACACCAGUGGCGAAGGCGACCACCUGGACUAAUACUGACACUGAGGUGCGAAAGCGUGGGGAGCAAACA
Molecule: ribosomal RNA, 427 nt
Filed under: uncultured bacterium
Lineage: Bacteria
Description: partial 16S ribosomal RNA
Rfam family: Bacterial small subunit ribosomal RNA
Source: RNAcentral